UACGGAGGAUGCAAGCGUUAUCCGGAAUGAUUGGGCGUAAAGCGUCCGCAGGUGGCUGUGUAAGUCUGCUGUUAAAUAGUGAGGCUCAACCUCAUAAAGGCAGUGGAAACUACACGGCUAGAGUGCGUUCGGGGCAGAGGGAAUUCCUGGUGUAGCGGUGAAAUGCGCAGAUAUCAGGAGGAACACCGAUGGCGAAGGCAGCUUACUGGGCCGAUACUGACGCUGAGGAGCGAAAGCGUGGGGAGCAAACAGG
Molecule: ribosomal RNA, 253 nt
Filed under: uncultured bacterium
Lineage: Bacteria
Description: partial 16S ribosomal RNA
Rfam family: Bacterial small subunit ribosomal RNA
Source: RNAcentral